Canis lupus familiaris (dog) is the source of this 1429-nucleotide long non-coding RNA. RefSeq lists it as uncharacterized. The transcript is spliced from 4 exons. Lineage: Eukaryota; Metazoa; Chordata; Mammalia; Carnivora; Canidae. The record is from RefSeq and is a predicted model, not a curated record.
CCGCCAUGGGCGGCACGCGGGCCCCUGCGCAGCCGGGUAAGUUCGGCAAAGACACGAGCCGAGGGACGACAGGACCCCCGUCGUGCACCUCGUCGGAGGCCGGCGGCGAUGCCCGAGUGUCCCCAGAAAAAGCGCAGGUAACCUGGCGGUGCAAAGGAGCCGAAUGGCCCGGUACUCACCGGAUCAGAACCCGACUUCCGGACGACGUCGGAAACGGCGACGGCCCGAGAGGAAGUCCCGCCCCCACGGUGAUGGCGCAACUUGGCGUCGAGGGGCGUGGCCACGCGGAGCGUUUCUACCCGCUCGGCGAACGGCCGUGGGGUGGGGGACCCUAACCCAGCUUUUCCCGUCCUUCCCCCGGUCCAAAUCACAAGAUAAAAAGAGAGAUCGGUGGUAAACUUUUAUUAUCCCGUUAGGUCGCAGACCCGGGCCACGUCCCGCGGCCUUGCCGCUGCCGGUCCCAGCCAGCUACGGGGGUUGGCGAUGGGGCGCCCGCCCCACGAUCGACUCUUCCAAGCCCAAGAGUCCUCUUUCCAGGUCCAUUACCCCGCCUUUCUGACCUUUAUAGUGACACCCCCCCCACCCCCAACGAAGAUUGUGCUGAGAACUUCAUUCAAUACUGCUCUUCAAGACUGGGCGCUGGCCAAGAAUAGGAACCCUGCCUUUCCCAUCUUACAAAUGAGGAGAUUGGUACAGAAAAGUCAUACAGCCAAAAGAGCGUACCCAUGCACUCCCACAAACCUCCAGGGAAAAGGUAAUCCAAUUGAAAAGUGGACUGACGACACUUCACAGAAAAGAAACAGCGGAUUAACAAUGAAAGAGCCUCAGUCCCAUCGUGUUGAACUUCACCCAACCCUGUGAUCCUGGAAGAGAGCGAAGGUUAAGAAACCCUAUCCCACCGUUUUGUGUCCUGGAACACAGCUUACUGCAAAGAAACACCCUCCCUCAUAUGACAGAUAAAAUUCAUAGGUGCCCCCUUGUUUACCUAUCUCAAGGCUAGCAACAGACUCCAAAUUCCAAUUCUUUGCCUUGUAAACGCUUAGAUGAACUGCUUGUCCCCACUGAUCAAUCAGAGCAAAAUGCUUGUUAACCAAACUUUGGUUAAGCUUCUCUCCUUCCUCCAGGUCCCUGAACUUUGCCUUCCCCAUCCACCCCCCAAGUUUGAGCCAGCACACAACCCCUCCUGAGAAUAGCCUGGCUGCAGGGUAAAACAUUUUCUGAUCUACUGUUCCAUCAUGCCACUUCUGGUCAUCCCGCUUCCUCACACCCAGUUUUUUCUGGCCUUGUUUACUUUUCCCUAUGAAUGACAGACUCCUUUUGCCUAACCCUUGAAGGCACACGUAGAUCUUAUGGUCCCAUUUCAAUACCUUCUUUCUCCCUUGAAAUAGUUCCUUUCCUCUCUUGGAAUAAUCAUUUAAAAUGAAGCCUC